This is a long non-coding RNA of Felis catus (domestic cat), 1519 nucleotides long. RefSeq lists it as uncharacterized. The transcript is spliced from 2 exons. The record is from RefSeq and is a predicted model, not a curated record. Lineage: Eukaryota; Metazoa; Chordata; Mammalia; Carnivora; Felidae.
UGCCCAGUGGACAGGUUUCUGACCAGAGAAAGGAAUGCCCGUGAACUACAGCAAUCUUAGAUGCCCAGGUUACAUUAUCCGAACAGCCCUGAGGCUGAACUGAAGGAAGUCCUCCAGCCUUCGAAGGGGAAAUCUGACACAGCUAGAAAGCAAUGGAAAACACUAAGCGUUGCAUCAGAUAUUGAAGAGGAACUGAUCAUACCGUGGAGAUAAAAAUGAUCUCUUUAAGGAGGAUUUCAAAAAUCUGGUUAUUUCAAGGUAGCAGCCUUUUGGGGGAAAACUAACAAGGGUUCCAGAGGCCAAUUAUCCCUUGUUAGCAACGUUGGCCUCAUGUUAGAAUGAGGAAUAGAUGUGUCUCAACGCUAUCCCUCUUCCAUUCAGUAUAGAUCAGCAAGAGAGGGCUCCAAAUAAAUUUCAUCCUUUUUCAGGAUGUUUCCCUGUCAAGCACAUUCUAGAUUCACUCUGUGGAAAAAUGUCUAUAAUGUGUUUAAUAUGGUUACGAUUUUGCUUUAUUUCUAUUAGGUAAGUGGUUUCCUUUUAUUCUUAACACUGCAUCUAAUAUUAGCUUACAGCGUUACUGGCACUGUAUGUGACCCAGGGGAGAGUUAGAAAGGAAGUAGAAGAUGUGGCCUCAGAGGGCCCAUGGGGGAGAAACAACACAAUAAUGAUAAUUAACAUUUUUAUAACACUUGAAAAUGUAAAAGUCACUUCCCAUUACUUUACCUCAUUAAUUUUCUCCACAAAUACGUUGUGUAGGCUUUACUAUCUCCAUUUUACAAAUGAGGACAGUGAAGCUUGAAGUAGGAGGGACUUCCCCAAGAUCACAUUCCAGUAAAAAGUGUGAUCUUAGAAAUCAUAUUCUGACUCUAAAACUCUAUCAUAUUCCAUUGAAAAUUGGCAAUUAUACUCCAAUAUCUGUGUAAGUACGUGCUGAUAAGACUUCAUGAAUGAUCAUGGUGGAAUGGGGUUCCUCAGGGAUGCUUUCUUGGGAGAGGGUGCAGUGCACAUGGAUGACUGAAGGAAUCAAAGUCUCUCCUGCUGGGGGGAGAAAGGUGGAAAAUUACAUGAGAGGAGAACAAGGGCAGGAAUGAGCUGAACAUGUGGAUCAGGGGAAGGAGACAGAUCUUCCCAGGCAGAAGAACCAUGACUGAGAAUAACGAGGCAAGUCUAGGAGAUAUUGGUGAUGUGAAUAUAAGGGGUAAGGGAAACAUAACACCUGGAAUUUUCUUUCCAUUGCCUCAAGGAGCCCGGCACUCCUGGUUCACAACAGAAAUUGCCAUGAGCACUCCUAAGAACAUGUUCUGCACUGGUGCCUCAAUGGGUAGAAAAGGGGGUUGCCAAGUGAGUUAUAUAUAGAAGUUGUGCAAGGGAAGUUCUUAUGCAAAAUGACUAAACAUGCUUCAUUGCCCUGCCUGGUUACUUAUAAACGUUGUGUAUGUGUAGAAGUUGAUGGGAGUCCAGACAUUGUCUAAGAGAUUUCUCAGAGUAAAAUGAGAAUAAAGUUGUUCUAAAACACAAA